AACGCACAUUGCGCCUUCUGGUAUUCCGGGAGGCAUGCCUGUCCGAACGUCAUCAAGCCCCUCACUUGGAGCUGUUUGUUCUCAAACUGCUUCAUUGGUGGUACUUGGAGGAUGAUUGGUUGCUAUGCAUCCAGCCACCUUUGAAAUAUACUGGUUGACCUUCCGGUCUGUAAUUGUGAUAAGCAUACUACAAUAGCAGAUCUGGUAGAUGUCUUGCCAUUAAUCUAGUGCUCUCCACUGCACUGCAUACCAUCUUUUGACUUCGGAUCAGGUAGGGAUACCCGCUGAACUUAA
Molecule: unclassified non-coding RNA, 294 nt
Filed under: uncultured Ascomycota
Lineage: Eukaryota; Fungi; Ascomycota
Description: sequence contains 5.8S rRNA gene, ITS2, 28S rRNA gene
Source: RNAcentral